GGGGAAUUUUCCGCAAUGGGCGAAAGCCUGACGGAGCAAUACCGCGUGAGGGAUGAAUGCCUAUGGGUUGUAAACCUCUUUUUUCAGGGAGGAAUCAAUGACGUGUACCUGAAGAAUAAGCAUCGGCUAACUCCGUGCCAGCAGCCGCGGUAAGACGGAGGAUGCAAGUGUUAUCCGGAAUCACUGGGCGUAAAGCGUCUGUAGGUGGUCCAAUAAGUCAACUGUUAAAUCUUGAGGCUCAACUUCAAAAUCGCAGUCGAAACUAUUAGACUAGAGUAUAGUAGGGGUAAAGGGAAUUUCCAGUGGAGCGGUGAAAUGCGUAGAGAUUGGAAAGAACACCGAUGGCGAAGGCACUUUACUGGGCUAUUACUAACACUCAGAGACGAAAGCUAAGGUAGCAAAUGGGAUUAGAUACCCCAUAGUC
RNAcentral lists this ribosomal RNA (424 nucleotides) under uncultured cyanobacterium. Its description in RNAcentral is "bacterial SSU rRNA". It matches the Rfam family "Bacterial small subunit ribosomal RNA", at positions 356 to 795 of the family's 1533-position model. The record is from RNAcentral. Lineage: Bacteria; Bacillati; Cyanobacteriota.